This 460-nucleotide ribosomal RNA is filed under the name uncultured bacterium. RNAcentral describes it as "partial 16S ribosomal RNA". It matches the Rfam family "Bacterial small subunit ribosomal RNA", at positions 338 to 795 of the family's 1533-position model. The record is from RNAcentral.
CCUACGGGUGGCAGCAGUGAGGAAUAUUGGUCAAUGGACGAGAGUCUGAACCAGCCAAGUAGCGUGAAGGAUGACUGCCCUAUGGGUUGUAAACUUCUUUUAUAUGGGAGUAAAAUGUUCCACGUGUGGGGUUUUGUAUGUACCAUAUGAAUAAGGAUCGGCUAACUCCGUGCCAGCAGCCGCGGUAAUACGGAGGAUCCGAGCGUUAUCCGGAUUUAUUGGGUUUAAAGGGAGCGUAGGUGGAUUGUUAAGUCAGUUGUGAAAGUUUGCGGCUCAACCGUGAAAUUGCAGUUGAAACUGGCAGUCUUGAGUACAGUAGAGGUGGGCGGAAUGCGUGGUGUAGCGGGGAAAUGCUUAGAUAUCACGAAGAACUCCGAUUGCGAAGGCAGUUCACUGGACUGCAACUGACACUGAGGCUCGAAAGUGUGGGUAUCAAACAGGAUUAGAUACCCGGGUAGUG